This 253-nucleotide ribosomal RNA is filed under the name uncultured bacterium. RNAcentral describes it as "partial 16S ribosomal RNA". It matches the Rfam family "Bacterial small subunit ribosomal RNA", at positions 524 to 776 of the family's 1533-position model. The record is from RNAcentral.
UACGUAGGGGGCAAGCGUUGUCCGGAUUUAUUGGGCGUAAAGAGCGUGUAGGCGGCCAGACAAGUCUGCUGUGAAAACCCGGGGCUCAACUCCGGGCUUGCGGGCGAUACGGGCAGGCUAGAGUUCGGUAGGGGAGACUGGAAUUCCUGGUGUAGCGGUGAAAUGCGCAGAUAUCAGGAGGAACACCGGUGGCGAAGGCGGGUCUCUGGGCCGAUACUGACGCUGAGGAGCGAAAGCGUGGGGAGCGAACAGG